RNAcentral lists this long non-coding RNA (443 nucleotides) under Setaria viridis. Its description in RNAcentral is "long non-coding RNA (SVIR_LNC007465)". The record is from RNAcentral. Lineage: Eukaryota; Viridiplantae; Streptophyta; Magnoliopsida; Poales; Poaceae.
UUCAGUAUCAUCUGCCAUGCCAGCACGAUGCGAUGGAAUAAGAGAGGGUUACCGCAGUAACAAUUGUGUGGUAGUAAAAGGCAUCACGAACAUGAUCAGAGGAUGGUAACUCAUCGAUUGCGGCAAAAAGGGGGACGCCACGGUGGUGCUAUGAUUGGUGCACGUUUCGGUGAAAACCAAAAGCCUUUGUUUUCUCUUUUCUGAGGCAGCAGAAGGCUGUUUAUAUAUGCGGUUCCUGUUGAUCGUUUAUCUAAAUUGUUCCUUGGAGAGCGUGCAUUUGUGACUGAUGGCAUUUGUGUGUGGCGUCGUCUAUUUGAUCAGUUUUGAGAUGCAUGGAUUUCAAAAGAAUCCCAGUUGAGAGGUACACGGGCAACAACAAAUCGGCACAACAAAUGGGAAAAAUGCCCCCACACACUUCAGGAGUAACUGGAUCUUGCAGGAUG